Long non-coding RNA from Bubalus bubalis (water buffalo), 278 nucleotides. RefSeq lists it as uncharacterized. The record is from RefSeq and is a predicted model, not a curated record. The transcript has 3 exons. Lineage: Eukaryota; Metazoa; Chordata; Mammalia; Artiodactyla; Bovidae.
AAGAAAUCAACCCUGAAAAACAUUGGAAGGAUUGAUGAUGAAGCUGAAGCUCCAACAUGAAGGAUUCCAUUUACUGAACUGCUUCAGGAGAGGAGUCAGCGAAUUGGGGUCAAAUUUACAGAUUCGAGUCCCUUCUGGCGCCCUCCAGCAACAGCUCAGAGACAGGGAACCUGGUUGUGGUGAUGGGACCUCUGGAAGGUGUCCAGGAUGUCCUGGGGGCUUCAGCAAUCCAUGAACCGUGAACUUCCAGAUGUUCAAGGUGGUUUUAGAAAAGGCAG